GCCAAGUUAUAGGGCCACUACCAUGUUCCAAGUCGCAGGCCCAAAUUCAUAGUCAAGUUUUUGGAGCGUGUCAGAAAAACUGACAAGUUGAGGCCAUUCUAAUCUCCAAAGGAAGAAUAUCCAUAAGGCAGAGGCUACAGCAGGAAACAACAGUCUUCUAGUUUCCACCAAUCAAUACACUUUGGCUGGCAGGAUCUGCAGCAUGUUCAGUCUGCUGGAUCUGAUUUCUGAUACAUCAAGAUGAGUAGCCUCAGAUCACCCCAACAUACAGUGGUGAUGCUUCCUUGGAAAACAGACCCAGUGAGUUUGGAGGACACCAAGCUGGGGAAGACUAAAGUAGAAUGAACUACCGGGAGGUACUGGAGACUCUGUAGGAUUGUGGCAUUAAAUACAAAGUUCUGCUCCCUCACAAAUGGCAUCGCUCCCUAUUUAUCAUUUGGACAUCUUCAGAAUGCAUGACUGGCAGCUUGUGCACAUUUCAAUGGUCAAAAUAUCUCCUUGGCUUGCAGCCAAAAGAAUCCAUAGUAGUGAUAGAAAGCAUUUUCUCCGUGGGGAAGGGGGGAUUUCCAUUUUCCAAAUAAAGAACAUCCUUAGA
Pantherophis guttatus is the source of this 595-nucleotide long non-coding RNA. RefSeq lists it as uncharacterized. The record is from RefSeq and is a predicted model, not a curated record. Lineage: Eukaryota; Metazoa; Chordata; Lepidosauria; Squamata; Colubridae.